AUGAACGCUGGCGGCGUGCCUAAUACAUGCCAGUCGAGCGCACAGAUGAGGAGCUUGCUCCUCUGACGUUAGCGGCGGACGGGUGAGUAACACGUGGAUAACCUACCUAUAAGACUGGGAUAACUUCGGGAAACCGGAGCUAAUACCGGAUAAUAUAUUGAACCGCAUGGUUCAAUAGUGAAAGACGGUUUUGCUGUCACUUAUAGAUGGAUCCGCGCCGCAUUAGCUAGUUGGUAAGGUAACGGCUUACCAAGGCAACGAUGCGUAGCCGACCUGAGAGGGUGAUCGGCCACACUGGAACUGAGACACGGUCCAGACUCCUACGGGAGGCAGCAGUAGGGAAUCUUCCGCAAUGGGCGAAAGCCUGACGGAGCAACGCCGCGUGAGUGAUGAAGGUCUUCGGAUCGUAAAACUCUGUUAUUAGGGAAGAACAAAUGUGUAAGUAACUAUGCACGUCUUGACGGUACCUAAUCAGAAAGCCACGGCUAACUACGUG
RNAcentral lists this ribosomal RNA (496 nucleotides) under uncultured bacterium. RNAcentral's name for it is "partial 16S ribosomal RNA". It matches the Rfam family "Bacterial small subunit ribosomal RNA", at positions 29 to 507 of the family's 1533-position model. The record is from RNAcentral.